RNAcentral lists this ribosomal RNA (449 nucleotides) under uncultured organism. RNAcentral's name for it is "partial 16S ribosomal RNA". It matches the Rfam family "Bacterial small subunit ribosomal RNA", at positions 335 to 800 of the family's 1533-position model. The record is from RNAcentral.
ACUCCUGCGGGAGGCAGCAGUGGGGAAUAUUGGACAAUGGGCGCAAGCCUGAUCCAGCCAUGCCGCGUGAGUGAUGAAGGCCCUAGGGUUGUAAAGCUCUUUCACCGGUGAAGAUAAUGACGGUAACCGGAGAAGAAGCCCCGGCUAACUUCGUGCCAGCAGCCGCGGUAAUACGAAGGGGGCUAGCGUUGUUCGGAUUUACUGGGCGUAAAGCGCACGUAGGCGGACUAUUAAGUCAGGGGUGAAAUCCCGGGGCUCAACCCCGGAACUGCCUUUGAUACUGGUAGUCUUGAGUUCGAGAGAGGUGGGUGGAAUUCCGAGUGUAGAGGUGAAAUUCGUAGAUAUUCGGAGGAACACCAGUGGCGAAGGCGGCUCACUGGCUCGAUACUGACGCUGAGGUGCGAAAGCGUGGGGAGCAAACAGGAUUAGAUACCCCGGUAGUCCCAUGA